This 498-nucleotide ribosomal RNA is filed under the name uncultured bacterium. RNAcentral describes it as "partial 16S ribosomal RNA". It matches the Rfam family "Bacterial small subunit ribosomal RNA", at positions 28 to 507 of the family's 1533-position model. The record is from RNAcentral.
GACGAACGCUGGCGGCGUGCCUAAUACAUGCCAGUCGAACGAGAGCGCCCGGUGCUUGCACUGGUCAAUCUAGUGGCGAACGGGUGAGUAACACGUGGGUAACCUGCCCAUCAGAGGGGGAUAACAUCCGGACACGGAUGCUAAAACCGCAUAGGUCUUCGAGCCGCAUGGCUUGAAGGGGAAAAGAGGCGCAAGCUUCUGCUGAUGGAUGGAACCGGGGUGCAUUAGCUAGUUGGGGAGGUAACGGCUCACCAAGGCCGUGAUGCAUAGCCGACCUGAGAGGGUGAUCGGCCACAUUGGGACUGAGACACGGCCCAAACUCCUACGGGAGGCAGCAGUAGGGAAUCUUCCGCAAUGGACGCAAGUCUGACGGAGCAACGCCGCGUGAGUGAAGAAGGUUUUCGGAUCGUAAAACUCUGUUGUUAGAGAAGAACAAGUGCUAGAGUAACUGUUAGCGCCUUGACGGUAUCUAACCAGAAAGCCACGGCUAACUACGUG